RNAcentral lists this ribosomal RNA (253 nucleotides) under uncultured bacterium. RNAcentral describes it as "partial 16S ribosomal RNA". It matches the Rfam family "Bacterial small subunit ribosomal RNA", at positions 524 to 776 of the family's 1533-position model. The record is from RNAcentral.
UACGUAGGGAGCAAGCGUUGUCCGGAAUCAUUGGGCGUAAAGCGCGCGUAGGUGGCCUCAUAAGUCCGCUGUGAAAGUCCAAGGCUCAACCUUGGAAAGCCGGUGGAUACUGUGAGGCUAGAGUACGGAAGAGGCGAGUGGAAUUCCUGGUGUAGCGGUGAAAUGCGCAGAUAUCAGGAGGAACACCGGUGGCGAAGGCGGGUCUCUGGACAUUUCCUGACGCUGAGGCACGAAAGCCAGGGGAGCAAACGGG